CUUAAUUUUUUUUGUUCUGCUCAGAUUGAACGCUGGCGGCAGGCCUAACACAUGCAAGUCGAGCGGAUGAGGGGAGCUUGCUCCUUGAUUCAGCGGCGGACGGGUGAGUAAUGCCUAGGAAUCUGCCUGGUAGUGGGGGAUAACGUUCCGAAAGGAACGCUAAUACCGCAUACGUCCUACGGGAGAAAGCAGGGGACCUUCGGGCCUUGCGCUAUCAGAUGAGCCUAGGUCGGAUUAGCUAGUUGGUGAGGUAAUGGCUCACCAAGGCGACGAUCCGUAACUGGUCUGAGAGGAUGAUCAGUCACACUGGAACUGAGACACGGUCCAGACUCCUACGGGAGGCAGCAGUGGGGAAUAUUGGACAAUGGGCGAAAGCCUGAUCCAGCCAUGCCGCGUGUGUGAAGAAGGUCUUCGGAUUGUAAAGCACUUUAAGUUGGGAGGAAGGGCAGUAAGUUAAUACCUUGCUGUUUUGACGUUACCAACAGAAUAAGCACCGGCUACUCGCAGCGUAUCCG
RNAcentral lists this ribosomal RNA (515 nucleotides) under uncultured Pseudomonas sp. Its description in RNAcentral is "bacterial SSU rRNA". It matches the Rfam family "Bacterial small subunit ribosomal RNA", at positions 1 to 517 of the family's 1533-position model. Lineage: Bacteria; Pseudomonadati; Pseudomonadota; Gammaproteobacteria; Pseudomonadales; Pseudomonadaceae. The record is from RNAcentral.